Molecule: ribosomal RNA, 244 nt
Filed under: uncultured Curvibacter sp.
Lineage: Bacteria; Pseudomonadati; Pseudomonadota; Betaproteobacteria; Burkholderiales; Comamonadaceae
Description: partial 16S ribosomal RNA
Rfam family: Bacterial small subunit ribosomal RNA
Source: RNAcentral
AGUAAAGUAUCGGAACGUGCCCAGUCGUGGGGGAUAACGUAGCGAAAGUUACGCUAAUACCGCAUACGAUCUAUGGAUGAAAGCGGGGGAUCGCAAGACCUCGCGCGAUUGGAGCGGCUGAUAUCAGAUUAGGUAGUUGGUGGGGUAAAGGCUCACCAAGCCGACGAUCUGUAGCUGGUCUGAGAGGACGACCAGCCACACUGGGACUGAGACACGGCCCAGACUCCUACGGGAGGCAGCAGAG